GCCUCCGUAGCUCAGGGGAUAGAGCAAUGGUUUCCUAAACCAUGUGCCGUAGGUUCGAAUCCUAUCGGGGGCACCA
RNAcentral lists this transfer RNA (76 nucleotides) under Coriobacteriaceae bacterium. RNAcentral's name for it is "tRNA-Arg". It matches the Rfam family "tRNA". Rfam says of the family: Transfer RNA (tRNA) molecules are approximately 80 nucleotides in length. Their secondary structure includes four short double-helical elements and three loops (D, anti-codon, and T loops). Lineage: Bacteria; Bacillati; Actinomycetota; Coriobacteriia; Coriobacteriales; Coriobacteriaceae. The record is from RNAcentral.